GACGAACGCUGGCGGCGUGGAUUAGGCAUGCAAGUCGAACGGUAUCAUCCUUUCGGGGGUGAGAGAGUGGCGAACUGGUGAGUAACACGUAGGUUAUCUACCCUCAAGACGGGGACAACCCAGGGAAACUUGGGCUAAUACCGGAUGUGAGCAACUUUUAGUUGUUUGAAAGGUGGCGUAAGCUGUCGCUUGGGGAUGAGCCUGCGUCCUAUUAGUUAGUUGGUGAGGUAACGGCUCACCUAGGCAAUGAUAGGUAGGCGGCCUUAACGGGUGGUCGCCCACACUGGGAUUGAGAUACGGCCCAGACUCCUACGGGAGGCAGCAGUCGAGAAUAGUCUACAAUGGUCGGAAGACUGAUAGUGCGACGCCGCGUGAACGAUGAAUCCCUUCGGGGUUAAAGUUCUUUUAUAUGUGAGCAGUGCUUCUUAUAUUAACAGUAUGGGGAAGAGAUAUUAGCAUAUGAAUAAGCAACGGCUAAACUCCGUGCCAGCAGCCGCGGU
RNAcentral lists this ribosomal RNA (500 nucleotides) under uncultured bacterium. RNAcentral's name for it is "bacterial SSU rRNA". It matches the Rfam family "Bacterial small subunit ribosomal RNA", at positions 28 to 521 of the family's 1533-position model. The record is from RNAcentral.